CUUGCUUCUCUUGAGAGCGGCGGACGGGUGAGUAAUGCCUAGGAAUCUGCCUGGUAGUGGGGGAUAACGUUCGGAAACGGACGCUAAUACCGCAUACGUCCUACGGGAGAAAGCAGGGGACCUUCGGGCCUUGCGCUAUCAGAUGAGCCUAGGUCGGAUUAGCUAGUUGGUGGGGUAAUGGCUCACCAAGGCGACGAUCCGUAACUGGUCUGAGAGGGUGAUCAGUCACACUGGAACUGAGACACGGUCCAGACUCCUACGGGAGGCAGCAGUGGGGAAUAUUGGACAAUGGGCGAAAGCCUGAUCCAGCCAUGCCGCGUGUGUGAAGAAGGUCUUCGGAUUGUAAAGCACUUUAAGUUGGGAGGAAGGGUUGUAGAUUAAUACUCUGCAAUUUUGACGUUACCGACAGAAUAAGCACCGGCUAACUCUGUGCCAGCAGCCGCGGUAAUACAGAGGGUGCAAGCGUUAAUCGGAAUUACUGGGCGUAAAGCGCGCGUAGGUGGUUUGUUAAGUUGGAUGUGAAAUCCCCGGGCUCAACCUGGGAACUGCAUUCAAAACUGACUGACUAGAGUAUGGUAGAGGGUGGUGGAAUUUCCUGUGUAGCGGUGAAAUGCGUAGAUAUAGGAAGGAACACCAGUGGCGAAAGCGACCACCUGGACUAAUACUGACACUGAGUGCGAAAGCGUGGGGAGCAAACAGGAUUAGAUACCC
Molecule: ribosomal RNA, 711 nt
Filed under: uncultured bacterium
Lineage: Bacteria
Description: bacterial SSU rRNA
Rfam family: Bacterial small subunit ribosomal RNA
Source: RNAcentral